AGCAGCCGCGGUAAUUCCAGCUCCAAUAGCGUAUAUUAAAGUUGUUGCAGUUAAAAAAGCUCGUAGUUGAAUUUCGGGAUCAAUACGUCGGUCGUGCUUCGGUACGUACUGGCGUAAUUGAUUUCUCCCUUCUGACGAACCAUGAUGUCAUUAACUUGGUGUCAUGGGAAAUCAGGACUGUUACUUUGAAAAAAAUUAGAGUGUUUAAAGCAGGCUAACGCUUGAAUACAUUAGCAUGGAAUAAUGAAAUAGGACGUUAAUCCUAUUUUGUUGGUUUCUAGGAUCGACGUAAUGAUUAAUAGGGAUAGUUGGGGGCAUUAGUAUUCAAUUGUCAGGGGUGAAAUUCUUGGAUUUAUUGAAGACUAACUACUGCGAAAGCAUUUGCCAAGGAUGUUUUCAUUAAUCUAAGAACGAAAGUUAGGGGAAUCGAAGACGAUCAGAUACCGUCGUAGUCUUAACCAUAAACUAUAGCCGACUAGGGAUCGGAUGAUGUUAUUUUAAUGACUCAUUCGGCGCCUUA
Molecule: ribosomal RNA, 520 nt
Filed under: uncultured Glomus
Lineage: Eukaryota; Fungi; Glomeromycota; Glomeromycetes; Glomerales; Glomeraceae
Description: SSU rRNA
Rfam family: Eukaryotic small subunit ribosomal RNA
Source: RNAcentral